This 465-nucleotide ribosomal RNA is filed under the name Vreelandella stevensii. RNAcentral's name for it is "partial 16S ribosomal RNA". It matches the Rfam family "Bacterial small subunit ribosomal RNA", at positions 338 to 795 of the family's 1533-position model. Lineage: Bacteria; Pseudomonadati; Pseudomonadota; Gammaproteobacteria; Oceanospirillales; Halomonadaceae. The record is from RNAcentral.
CCUACGGGAGGCAGCAGUGGGGAAUAUUGGACAAUGGGGGGAACCCUGAUCCAGCCAUGCCGCGUGUGUGAAGAAGGCCCUCGGGUUGUAAAGCACUUUCAGUGAGGAAGAACGCCUGGUGGUUAAUACCCAUCAGGAAAGACAUCACUCACAGAAGAAGCACCGGCUAACUCCGUGCCAGCAGCCGCGGUAAUACGGAGGGUGCGAGCGUUAAUCGGAAUUACUGGGCGUAAAGCGCGCGUAGGUGGCUUGAUAAGCCGGUUGUGAAAGCCCCGGGCUCAACCUGGGAACGGCAUCCGGAACUGUCAAGCUAGAGUGCAGGAGAGGAAGGUAGAAUUCCCGGUGUAGCGGUGAAAUGCAUAGAGAUCGGGAGGAAUACCAGUGGCGAAGGCGGCCUUCUGGACUGACACUGACACUGAGGUGCGAAAGCGUGGGUAGCAAACAGGAUUAGAUACCCGUGUAGUC